UGUCUCACGUGAAUCAGCAGCCAUGUCCGGCCUCGCCUGUGUUUCCAAACAGAAGGCAUCUGAACCAGACUCACCUCUGGAGGUGACAGACCAGGGGCUCCAAGACCCCAGUGUCUUGAGGUCUGGUCUCCGGGAUCUCAGUGGGCCCUCCAGAGAUGUUGUGGAGUAUUCAUCAGAGAAGACUGCUGAGACAUGGGUCUGAGCCAAUAGAAAGCUGUCUGUUUGGGAUCCCAGUGCAGCCAGGAGCCUUCCUCAGUGUGAGCUUUCAAUUUUGGCAGGUGGUGCUGUCCAUGUGCUGAGUUUAUGGCCUGACUAGCACUUCCAUCAUGGAGUCAGCUGUGCUAAGAAGGUCUGGGGCCCUGAUACACUGUGUCGGCCAGGCUGCUCAAAUCCACGGAGAUCCAGCUGCUUCUGCCUCCUGAG
This is a long non-coding RNA of Myodes glareolus (Bank vole), 423 nucleotides long. RefSeq lists it as uncharacterized. Lineage: Eukaryota; Metazoa; Chordata; Mammalia; Rodentia; Cricetidae. The record is from RefSeq and is a predicted model, not a curated record.